CUUAGGCGUGUGACUGCGUACCUUUUGUAUAAUGGGUCAGCGACUUAUAUUCUGUAGCAAGGUUAACCGAAUAGGGGAGCCGAAGGGAAACCGAGUCUUAACUGGGCGUUAAGUUGCAGGGUAUAGACCCGAAACCCGGUGAUCUAGCCAUGGGCAGGUUGAAGGUUGGGUAACACUAACUGGAGGACCGAACCGACUAAUGUUGAAAAAUUAGCGGAUGACUUGUGGCUGGGGGUGAAAGGCCAAUCAAACCGGGAGAUAGCUGGUUCUCCCCGAAAGCUAUUUAGGUAGCGCCUCGUGAAUUCAUCUCCGGGGGUAGAGCACUGUUUCGGCAAGGGGGUCAUCCCGACUUACCAACCCGAUGCAAACUGCGAAUACCGGAGAAUGUUAUCACGGGAGACACACGGCGGGUGCUAACGUCCGUCGUGAAGAGGGAAACAACCCAGACCGCCAGCUAAGGUCCCAAAGUCAUGGUUAAGUGGGAAACGAUGUGGGAAGGCCCAGACAGCCAGGAUGUUGGCUUAGAAGCAGCCAUCAUUUAAAGAAAGCGUAAUAGCUCACUGGUCGAGUCGGCCUGCGCGGAAGAUGUAACGGGGCUAAACCAUGCACCGAAGCUGCGGCAGCGACGCUGAUGCGUUGUUGGGUAGGGGAGCGUUCUGUAAGCCUGCGAAGGUGUGCUGUGAGGCAUGCUGGAGGUAUCAGAAGUGCGAAUGCUGACAUAAGUAACGAUAAAGCGGGUGAAAAGCCCGCUCGCCGGAAGACCAAGGGUUCCUGUCCAACGUUAAUCGGGGCAGGGUGAGUCGACCCCUAAGGCGAGGCCGAAAGGCGUAGUCGAUGGGAAACAGGUUAAUAUUCCUGUACUUGGUGUUACUGCGAAGGGGGGACGGAGAAGGCUAUGUUGGCCGGGCGACGGUUGUCCCGGUUUAAGCGUGUAGGCUGGUUUUCCAGGCAAAUCCGGAAAAUCAAGGCUGAGGCGUGAUGACGAGGCACUGCGGUGCUGAAGCAACAAAUGCCCUGCUUCCAGGAAAAGCCUCUAAGCAUCAGGUAACAUCAAAUCGUACCCCAAACCGACACAGGUGGUCAGGUAGAGAAUACCAAGGCGCUUGAGAGAACUCGGGUGAAGGAACUAGGCAAAAUGGUGCCGUAACUUCGGGAGAAGGCACGCUGAUAUGUAGGUGAAGUCCCUCGCGGAUGGAGCUGAAAUCAGUCGAAGAUACCAGCUGGCUGCAACUGUUUAUUAAAAACACAGCACUGUGCAAACACGAAAGUGGACGUAUACGGUGUGACGCCUGCCCGGUGCCGGAAGGUUAAUUGAUGGGGUUAGCGCAAGCGAAGCUCUUGAUCGAAGCCCCGGUAAACGGCGGCCGUAACUAUAACGGUCCUAAGGUAGCGAAAUUCCUUGUCGGGUAAGUUCCGACCUGCACGAAUGGCGUAAUGAUGGCCAGGCUGUCUCCACCCGAGACUCAGUGAAAUUGAACUCGCUGUGAAGAUGCAGUGUACCCGCGGCAAGACGGAAAGACCCCGUGAACCUUUACUAUAGCUUGACACUGAACAUUGAGCCUUGAUGUGUAGGAUAGGUGGGAGGCUUUGAAGUGUGGACGCCAGUCUGCAUGGAGCCGACCUUGAAAUACCACCCUUUAAUGUUUGAUGUUCUAACGUUGACCCGUAAUCCGGGUUGCGGACAGUGUCUGGUGGGUAGUUUGACUGGGGCGGUCUCCUCCUAAAGAGUAACGGAGGAGCACGAAGGUUGGCUAAUCCUGGUCGGACAUCAGGAGGUUAGUGCAAUGGCAUAAGCCAGCUUGACUGCGAGCGUGACGGCGCGAGCAGGUGCGAAAGCAGGUCAUAGUGAUCCGGUGGUUCUGAAUGGAAGGGCCAUCGCUCAACGGAUAAAAGGUACUCCGGGGAUAACAGGCUGAUACCGCCCAAGAGUUCAUAUCGACGGCGGUGUUUGGCACCUCGAUGUCGGCUCAUCACAUCCUGGGGCUGAAGUAGGUCCCAAGGGUAUGGCUGUUCGCCAUUUAAAGUGGUACGCGAGCUGGGUUUAGAACGUCGUGAGACAGUUCGGUCCCUAUCUGCCGUGGGCGCUGGAGAACUGAGGGGGGCUGCUCCUAGUACGAGAGGACCGGAGUGGACGCAUCACUGGUGUUCGGGUUGUCAUGCCAAU
This 2164-nucleotide ribosomal RNA is filed under the name Escherichia coli. RNAcentral's name for it is "partial 23S ribosomal RNA". It matches the Rfam family "Bacterial large subunit ribosomal RNA", at positions 584 to 2733 of the family's 2925-position model. Lineage: Bacteria; Pseudomonadati; Pseudomonadota; Gammaproteobacteria; Enterobacterales; Enterobacteriaceae. The record is from RNAcentral.